Molecule: long non-coding RNA, 109 nt
Organism: Hippocampus comes (tiger tail seahorse)
Lineage: Eukaryota; Metazoa; Chordata; Actinopteri; Syngnathiformes; Syngnathidae
Exons: 3
Source: RefSeq, a predicted model, not a curated record
AAUGGACCAAUUCGGAAUGACGAAUAUGCCUUAUAAUGUAAAAAGAAUAAUUUUUAAGUUAUGAACCUACAUACGAUGUUAGCAUUAUUGCUAUUUGCAAUUGGUACUG